Molecule: ribosomal RNA, 498 nt
Filed under: uncultured bacterium
Lineage: Bacteria
Description: partial 16S ribosomal RNA
Rfam family: Bacterial small subunit ribosomal RNA
Source: RNAcentral
AUUGAACGCUGGCGGCAUGCUUUACACAUGCAAGUCGAACGGUAACAGGCCGCAAGGUGCUGACGAGUGGCGAACGGGUGAGUAAUGCAUCGGAACGUGCCCAGGCGUGGGGGAUAACGCAGCGAAAGCUGUGCUAAUACCGCAUACGAACUAUGGAUGAAAGCGGGGGACCGUAAGGCCUCGCGCGAUCGGAGCGGCCGAUGUCAGAAUAGGUAGUUGGUGGGGUAAAGGCUCACCAAGCCAACGAUCUGUAGCUGGUCUGAGAGGACGACCAGCCACACGGGGACUGAGACACGGUCCAGACUCCUACGGGAGGCAGCAGUGGGGAAUCUUGGACAAUGGGCGCAAGCCUGAUCCAGCAAUGCCGCGUGCAGGAAGAAGGCCUUCGGGUUGUAAACUGCUUUUGUACGGAACGAAAAGGUUUGGGUUAAUACCCUGGGCCGAUGACGGUACCGUAAGAAUAAGCACCGGCUAACUACGUGCCAGCCGCCGCCGUAA